AGAAGAAAGAAGGUCUACCCUUGUCUUCACCCCCAGCUUGUCCGACGCUUCUCCGUGCUGUGCUGCACACUGAGGUGGCAGGUCCCAGGGUUGGUGACAUGAGCUCAUCCGCGCUUUGAAUGUUUUUGAGGUGGGUUUCAUUAUUUCUGCUUUAUUUGGGCUCAGAGAAGCUGAGACACUUGCUGGGCUACCUGGCUACCCUGGC
RNAcentral lists this long non-coding RNA (205 nucleotides) under Homo sapiens (human). RNAcentral's name for it is "non-protein coding lnc-TPCN2-4:1". Lineage: Eukaryota; Metazoa; Chordata; Mammalia; Primates; Hominidae. The record is from RNAcentral.